Molecule: ribosomal RNA, 253 nt
Filed under: uncultured bacterium
Lineage: Bacteria
Description: partial 16S ribosomal RNA
Rfam family: Bacterial small subunit ribosomal RNA
Source: RNAcentral
UACGAAGGGGGCUAGCGUUGCUCGGAAUCACUGGGCGUAGAGCGCACGUAGGCGGCUUCUUAAGUCAGGGGUGAAAUCCUGGAGCUCAACUCCAGAACUGCCUUUGAUACUGAGAAGCUUGAGUCCGGGAGAGGUGAGUGGAACUGCGAGUGUAGAGGUGAAAUUCGUAGAUAUUCGCAAGAACACCAGUGGCGAAGGCGGCUCACUGGCCCGGUACUGACGCUGAGGUGCGAAAGCGUGGGGAGCAAACAGG